GAUAGAGUUGCAUGUAUUGGGUUGAAAAAUAACCAUUCCUGCCAACAACAGGGUUCUAUUUUCAUGAAUGUGACAAAAACAGUCAUUUGAGAAAGAUAAAUUAAUUGAUUGCAAGAAGAAACGGUAAAAUAAGGAGAAAAAAAGAAAAAAAACAACAACAACCAAAAAAAAAGAAAAGCAAAUCAAAAGUAGGCAGGGAAGCUGUAACAGCUCGUUAGGUGGGAAGCAAUAAGAAUGGCCGUUGAUGUCUGUAUAAUUGAAUAGCAUAACCAUAGCAGUCACAGCUGUUGUACUACAAAGCCAGAGUUUCAGUUUCAUCUUUCAUCAGAAAAUUACAGAAAAUUACUGAUAUGACAUGAAAAGAUUGUCUUUGAUUUGGUCAAUAGUACAUUCCAUUGUAGAUGAUUUGGAGAGAAACUUUUCACUGGCGCCAACAGUUUGGUUUAUCCAUUAAAGGACAAAGACUUGUUCCAGAAGAAACGUUGCCGUGAAUUUGUCAAUGAUCUUUUCCUGAGACACCAUUAUUAGGCAGGACAUUGCUGCCGCAGACGCUGCUGCCGCUACUGCUGCUGCUGCUGCUGCUGCUGCAUCUUGUAUUUAUCUCGGAAAUAAUUACAUACAAAAAAUUUUUUAAAAAAAAGGAAGAAAAAUAUAAAGAGUAAAAAUUAAAAAAAAAUUAAAUGUAA
This is a long non-coding RNA of Octopus bimaculoides (California two-spot octopus), 686 nucleotides long. The record is from RefSeq and is a predicted model, not a curated record. Lineage: Eukaryota; Metazoa; Mollusca; Cephalopoda; Octopoda; Octopodidae.